CAAUAAUUAUGAAUGCAUUGCAAUAUAUUAUGUUUAAUAAAUUCACUUUAUAAACAAAUUAUCUUAUUAAAUCUGACUUUUUUGUGAUUUUAGUUUAAAGUUAGUAAGAUUCUAAAUUGCAUGCUAAAGUAUACUGCAACCCAUUGCAUUCAUUUGCAGCACCUUGGCAUGAUUAGGAUUGCCACAAGCUGUGCUACGUCUAUCUUUUUUUGUCUCUUUCUUUUUGCAUUUUCUUUGUCUCUCCUUGCAUACCUUCAAAUCCUGUUUAUCCUAGGCCCUUUCUCCUUAGAUCUUCAAUGUCUACUUUCAUGGGAAAAAUUUCCUUACUUGUGAUUGGAUCUGAAUUACUAUCAUUCAGCUCUUCAUUCUACCUUUCUCUUCAGUACUGUAACAAGACAAUAUUUUG
Molecule: long non-coding RNA, 406 nt
Filed under: Androctonus crassicauda
Lineage: Eukaryota; Metazoa; Arthropoda; Arachnida; Scorpiones; Buthidae
Source: RNAcentral